Molecule: non-coding RNA, 30 nt
Filed under: Homo sapiens (human)
Lineage: Eukaryota; Metazoa; Chordata; Mammalia; Primates; Hominidae
Source: RNAcentral
UGUAACAUGCUGUGGUGACCGGAAGAACGG